AACGAACGCUGGCGGCAUGCCUAACACAUGCAAGUCGAACGAGACCUUCGGGUCUAGUGGCGCACGGGUGCGUAACGCGUGGGAACCUGCCCUUAGGUUCGGAAUAACUCCCCGAAAGGGGUGCUAAUACCGGCUAAUGUCUUCGGACCAAAGAUUUAUCGCCUUUGGAUGGGCCCGCGUUGGAUUAGCUAGUUGGUAGGGUAAAAGCCUACCAAGGCGACGAUCCAUAGCUGGUUUGAGAGGAUGAUCAGCCACACUGGGACUGAGACACGGCCCAGACUCCUACGGGAGGCAGCAGUGGGGAAUAUUGGACAAUGGGCGAAAGCCUGAUCCAGCAAUGCCGCGUGAGUGAUGAAGGCCUUAGGGUUGUAAAGCUCUUUUACCCGGGAUGAUAAUGACAGUACCGGGAGAAUAAGCUCCGGCUAACUCCGUG
This 433-nucleotide ribosomal RNA is filed under the name uncultured bacterium. Its description in RNAcentral is "partial 16S ribosomal RNA". It matches the Rfam family "Bacterial small subunit ribosomal RNA", at positions 29 to 507 of the family's 1533-position model. The record is from RNAcentral.